CCCAAUUUCAUUCGACAAAACCCAGCACAGUAGAAAAGGAAAAAUCGAAAAACCAUUACCAAACAACGAAACCAGCUUCUUCGAUCUUGGGGUUCUUUGACUCCGAUUUCAAUCAUCAAAAUCUUCAACCAAUCUUCAAUCUUCAGGCCUGAGAAUGGGGUUCUUUGUUGCAUGGUAGUGGAUAGAGAUGGAGGGUUGAACCGUUGAUUUUGAAGAAGUGAGUUUUGGUCCUUUUGGCUUUGAAAUUGUUUGCUGUGAGAAUGGGGCUUCAAUGAAUUUGGUUGUGUUUUGUUUUUGUUGCAUGGGAGGGACUGUAGUACAUAGAGAUGGAGGCUUGAUAUUGAAGAAGUGGGUUUAGGGUUUGAGAUGUUCAUGUAAAAUCAAAUAGUUAGAAAUUUGGUUUUAUUUUCUACCUGCUACUUAAAUUAAAGCACUACCUUCAAUGUAUUUAUAAAUGUGGCUCCAACAACAUAUGCGAUGGAAAGCUGAAAAUGGAUCUGUUGUUGAUUUGUUUACCAACUUCAAUUGAACCUCACAUUUUGACUGAUCCAUAUUCCUUGCUUACAAAAGAUAAAAUAACAAGACGGAUUGAAAGUGGGGGUCAAUCUGUCGCUGCGGUUCUCUGUUGUGUUGGUAAGGAGUUUCCACCCCACGAAUCAAGAACUGAUUUCAUUGAAGAUAUUGUUGGCCUUGUAGCACUUAUUGGAAAAGCUUGGACCAUCAAGCUUAGAGACUGAUGGUGGCAUCAGGAUUCCUUCAGAAGAUGAAAGCACAUAAUCACCUCAUGGAAGUUUUACAAAGGUUUGGCUGGGUUAUUGACUGCAAAAUAUCUGGCAGGUGCAGGUCACCAACCUUUGUUACUAGAAGCAAGAGAUUGUCUAGGUGGAAAGGUUUAUGUUUUGCUUUAUCUUUACCCCUUUCCAAUUAGUUGACGCCAAACUAAAGAUAUAUAUGUAUACUUUUCUGUUGAUUUCUUAGUCUUUUGUUAACUUCUAGAAACUUACAAAAGCUUGCUAGUUAGUGAUUAGAAGAUAGGCCAUUUUUCAGCAUCGUUGAACAAUAGGCGAUUUUCAUAUGGAUGAUAAUCUGGAAGAAGUUUUUCAUUCUGGUUGAUAUUGUGGCAUGAGUACUUUCCUGUUGCUAGGAGCAAGGAUGGACACAAUUGCAUGAUAAUUUUUGUUUCCAUCUUGAUAUCCAUAUGUAAUGCAGGGUUUUAUCUUUUCAAUUUCUUUGUCAUUCAACGUUAAACUUUGGUCUUUUUCCUAUUAGGUAGCUGCCUGGAAAGGUGAUGAUGGGGACUGGUAUGAGACAGGCCUGCAUAUAUUUUGUGAUUUGAUAUAGUUUCUUUAUAUUACUUAAUUAUUUUUUUUUUAUUAUCAUUUUAGUUCGUGAUGCUACAACAUUAUUUUCUAUUAACCAUCAUUCCUAAGUUCUACUGCAUUUUUUACUCGGAUAAAUUAUGUAAUUUUUGAAACUAAUUCUUGUUUGCUGAUGUCUUUGAUGUUUGACUCAACAACUUUAUUAUUGUCUUCUAGUGAUUGUUCUUUUGAUGUUAUGAAUGUCUUAAUAAGUUCUAAUGCACUUUCACUUCAUAGUGAUGAUCUAGUGGGUAUCUUUUACCUUAUGCAGUUUUUUGAAUGUUGCAAUAACAAACUUUGAUGAAGUCACCUCUUUGUCUUUUCCUUUCUUAAAGUGGGGCUAAUCUUAUGCAUUUCCUUUUAAUUGAUAAAUAUUUUCUUUUCUUGUUGGCAAGUUGGGGCUUACCCAAAUAUACAGAACCUGUUCGAAGAACUUGGUAUCAAUGAUAUUUACAAUGCCAAACAAGCCAGGAGAAUUCGAUCGAUUUGAUUUUCCUGAAGUUCUGCCAGCUUCUGUAAAUGGGGGUACCUGAGCGUGUGACGACAAAGGUGUUUAUUGCCAUGUCAAAGGCACUAAAUUUUAUUAACCCUGGUGAAUUGUCAAUGCAAUGUAUAUUGAUUGCUAUAAAUCGGUUUCUUCAGUAGAAGCAUGGUUCCAAGAUGGAAUUCUUGGAUGGUAGUCCCCUAGAGAGACUUGCAUGUCGAUUGUUAAUCAUAUUCAAUCACUCGGUGCUGAAGUCCGACUAAAUUCUCAAAUACAGGAAAUUGAGCUUGAUAGUAAUGGAACUGUGAAGAAUUUCGUACUAACUAGCGGGGAAGUUAUUGAAGGAGAUGUUUAUGUAUUUGCCACUCUAGGUUCAACAGGAAACUGAAAAACACGUAUGAUUAUAUCUACUCUUCAGCAGGUCCUGCUCUUAGUUAAUGCUUAAUCCUCAGUUCCGUUUAGAGAGAUGGCGCUGUUUGUGCAAUAGUUCAUUAGCGAUUCAAUGCAAAUGUUUUAGUACAAAUGUGGUAAUUAUUUGUAUUAAGAGAAAGAGAGGGAAAUAAAAAAAUUAAUUAUUUUUUAUAAUUAAGUGUGAUUAGUGCUGUGAUUAAAGCGGCUGUUAUGGAUUAGUCGAUUCUUUGUAUCUUAUCCUUAAAUAUAGCUGUAAUGAGCAAAUGAUAAUCACAGCUCUAUUAUGUAAUUCAAAGAAUAUUUUGUGAGGCUGGCCCGAUAUUAGCCCAAAACAAA
Molecule: long non-coding RNA, 2589 nt
Organism: Pistacia vera
Lineage: Eukaryota; Viridiplantae; Streptophyta; Magnoliopsida; Sapindales; Anacardiaceae
Exons: 6
Source: RefSeq, a predicted model, not a curated record